RNAcentral lists this ribosomal RNA (377 nucleotides) under uncultured bacterium. Its description in RNAcentral is "bacterial SSU rRNA". It matches the Rfam family "Bacterial small subunit ribosomal RNA", at positions 521 to 896 of the family's 1533-position model. The record is from RNAcentral.
UAAUACGGAGGGUGCGAGCGUUGUCCGGAAUCACUGGGCGUAAAGGGCGCGUAGGUGGCGCGGUAAGCGUGUGGUGAAAGCCCGGGGCUCAACCCCGGGUCGGCCAUGCGAACUGCUGGGCUUGAGCAUAGUAGAGGCAGGUAGAAUUCCGGGUGUAGCGGUGGAAUGCGUAGAGAUCCGGAAGAAUACCGGUGGCGAAGGCGGCCUGCUGGGCUAUUGCUGACACUGAGGCGCGACAGCGUGGGGAGCAAACAGGAUUAGAUACCCUGGUAGUCCACGCCGUAAACGAUGGGCACUAGGUGCUUGGGGGAGCGACCCCCUGAGUGCCGGCGCUAACGCAUUAAGUGCCCCGCCUGGGGAGUACGGCCGCAAGGCUG